Molecule: ribosomal RNA, 484 nt
Filed under: uncultured bacterium
Lineage: Bacteria
Description: bacterial SSU rRNA
Rfam family: Bacterial small subunit ribosomal RNA
Source: RNAcentral
AGGGUUUGAUUAUGGCUCAGAACGAACGCUUGCUGCAUGCUUUAUACAUGCAAGUCGAACGGAGGCCCUAGCUUGCUAGGUGUCCUUAGUGGCGCACGGGUGAGUAACACGUGGGAACAUACCUCAUAGUACGGAAUAACUGCGGGAAACUGUAGCUAAUACCGUAUAUUCCAGUAAUGGGAAAGAUUUAUCGCUAUGAGAUUGGCCCGCGCAAGAUUAGCUUGUUGGUGAGGUAAUGGCUCACCAAGGCUCCGAUCUUUAGCUGGUUUGAGAGGACGAUCAGCCACACUGGGACUGAGACACGGCCCAGACUCCUACGGGAGGCAGCAGUAGGGAAUAUUGGACAAUGGGGGAAACCCUGAUCCAGCAAUGCAGCGUGAGUGACGAAGGCCUUAGGGUUGUAAAACUCUUUCAUCGGUGAGGAUAAUGACGGUAGCCGAAGAAGAAGGACCGGCUAAUUCCGUGCCAGCCGCCGCGGUAAUAC